CAGGCCUAACACAUGCAAGUCGAGCGGACCAUUCCUUCGGGGAUGGUUAGCGGCGGACGGGUGAGUAACACGUAGGCAACCUACCUGUAAGAUCGGGAUAACUACCGGAAACGGUAGCUAAGACCGGAUAGCUGGUUUCUCCGCAUGGAGGGAUCAUGAAACAUGGGGCAACCUGUGGCUUACGGAUGGGCCUGCGGCGCAUUAGCUAGUUGGUGGGGUAAUGGCCCACCAAGGCGACGAUGCGUAGCCGACCUGAGAGGGUGAUCGGCCACACUGGGACUGAGACACGGCCCAGACUCCUACGGGAGGCAGCAGUAGGGAAUCUUCCGCAAUGGGCGCAAGCCUGACGGAGCAACGCCGCGUGAGUGAUGAAGGUUUUCGGAUCGUAAAGCUCUGUUGCCAAGGAAGAACGCCUCGAAGAGUAACUGCUCUGAGGGUGACGGUACUUGAGAAGAAAGCCCCGGCUAACUACGUGCCAGCAGCCGCGGUAAUACGUAGGGGGCAAGCGUUGUCCGGAAUUAUUGGGCGUAAAGCGCGCGCAGGCGGUCUUUUAAGUUUGGUGUUUAAGCCCGGGGCUCAACCCCGGUUCGCACUGAAAACUGGGAGACUUGAGUGCAGGAGAGGAAAGCGGAAUUCCACGUGUAGCGGUGAAAUGCGUAGAGAUGUGGAGGAACACCAGUGGCGAAGGCGGCUUUCUGGACUGUAACUGACGCUGAGGCGCGAAAGCGUGGGGAGCAAACAGGAUUAGAU
This 750-nucleotide ribosomal RNA is filed under the name uncultured bacterium. RNAcentral describes it as "bacterial SSU rRNA". It matches the Rfam family "Bacterial small subunit ribosomal RNA", at positions 43 to 783 of the family's 1533-position model. The record is from RNAcentral.